This 279-nucleotide ribosomal RNA is filed under the name uncultured bacterium. RNAcentral describes it as "partial 16S ribosomal RNA". It matches the Rfam family "Bacterial small subunit ribosomal RNA", at positions 30 to 313 of the family's 1533-position model. The record is from RNAcentral.
AUUGAACGCUGGCGGCAUGCCUAACACAUGCAAGUCGAACGCGAAAGGGGGCAACCCUGAGUAGAGUGGCGGACGGGUGAGUAACGCAUCGGAAUUUACCCUGUCGUGGGGGAUAACCAAGGGAAACUUUGGCUAAUACCGCAUGAUCUGGUGACAGCAAAGCGGGGGACCUGCAAGGGCCUCGCGCGAUGGGAUGAGCCGAUGUCUGAUUAGCUAGUUGGUAGGGAAAGCCUACCAAGGCGACGAUCAGUAGCUGUCUGAGAGGAUGAUCAGCCACAC